This 62-nucleotide transfer RNA is filed under the name Streptomyces bathyalis. RNAcentral describes it as "tRNA-Ser". Lineage: Bacteria; Bacillati; Actinomycetota; Actinomycetes; Kitasatosporales; Streptomycetaceae. The record is from RNAcentral.
GCCCCUCACGGCUUCCCCGGCCUCCGGAGCCGUGUGCGCAGGUUCGAAUCCUGCCGGGGGUA